This is a non-coding RNA of Ochotona princeps (American pika), 420 nucleotides long. Lineage: Eukaryota; Metazoa; Chordata; Mammalia; Lagomorpha; Ochotonidae. The record is from the annotation of a RefSeq genome assembly.
AUGGACAUGAAGGCCCCUGCUCAGCUCCUGGGGCUCCUGCUGCUCUGGCUCCCAAGUGCCAGAUGUGCUAUUCAGAUCACCCAGUCACCAUCCUUGGUGACUGCAAAUGUGGGAGGCACAGUCACCAUCAGUUGCCAGUCAAGUCAGAGUGUUUACGAGAACAAUUAUCUAAACUGGUUUCAGCAGAAACCAGGGCAACCUCCAAAGAUCCUGAUCUAUGAUGCAUCCACUUUAGCAUCUGGGGUCCCUGACAGGUUCAAGGGCAGUGGAUCUGGGAAAUCAUUCACUCUCACCAUCAGCGGGGUGCAAGCUGAGGAUGUCAGAACCUAUUACUGUCAAGGGGGUUAUUAUACUAGUGGCAGUUGGAUUCUACAGUGGUAUAAGCCUGAACAAAAACUGCCCAGGAAAGCAGAAGUAUGA